Molecule: long non-coding RNA, 486 nt
Organism: Zonotrichia leucophrys gambelii
Lineage: Eukaryota; Metazoa; Chordata; Aves; Passeriformes; Passerellidae
Exons: 3
Source: RefSeq, a predicted model, not a curated record
AAACUUUUUCCCGCCUCGAAGGCGCUGUUAGGAUUCAGAGGAAGAAGUUGGCGAUGACCAGUCGGAAUCCUUUAUUUGAAUGGAAUUUAUGCAUCACGUAUGAGGUGCAUGAAUAUGAAACAGCAUAACAGUGACAGGUUAGCCCCUCCGGAAGAAAUACCUCUGCUGCCGAGAAGACUAUACCUCUCUCGUAGCUCGAGGCAACCGAGUUGACGAGCAAAGGCAGUGGAGCUGUAUAACUACCUGCGAAGUGGACCAAGCCUGCUUUCAAUGCAAUGGUGGGUGGACAAUCUGACAGACAAAGACAAAAAAGCGACUAAGAAGAGAAGCUGCCCCUGAUCCUGCGACCACUACUGAUACAACUAAAAGGACACUCGAAAGUGGUCCACAAAGCCAUGACAGGCCGCCAGACGGCUAAAGAAUUGAUUGACACUGUUGAACCAUUAUCACCUUUUUACAUAAGGAGACGAGCAGGGAAAAAACUGC